This 6288-nucleotide long non-coding RNA is filed under the name Sus scrofa (pig). RNAcentral's name for it is "lncRNA (ENSSSCG00055017454.1)". Lineage: Eukaryota; Metazoa; Chordata; Mammalia; Artiodactyla; Suidae. The record is from RNAcentral.
UUUAUUAUUUUAUUAAAGUGUAGUUGAUUUAUAAUGAUGUGCCAGUUUCUGCUAUAGAGCAAGGUGACCCAGUCAUAUAUAUAUAUAUAUAUAUACACACACAUUCCUUUUCUUAUAUUAUCUUCCGUCACAGCCACGUUCAUUCUUUUGACUGGUAGCAUGGAAUAAAACUGUGGGGGCAUGUACUUCAAAUUCUUUUUUGUGCACCUGUAUGUCUAUUCAGACUAAAUAUGCUUCAGAAGUAAUUAUGGUCUCGUAGGCUUGGAUUUUGGUAAGUUAGUCCCUUAAAGCAGGUUGAGUUAGAGCAGGUUGUAAAUUUUAGAGGGGAGCUUCAGGGCUUAAGAAAAGAAAAUGCCUCCUUUCUGAUUGAGAAUAUCAGAAUUCAGUGUGAAUUACAAAGAUGCACACUCUGAUGCCGAGAGAGACUCUAACCUUCAGGCUUUGGGGGCAUCUGCCAAGUGCAUGAAAGAGAAAAGUUGAGUUCUAAAAAGACACGGGGAAUAAAAGCUUCUGAAGAAGCAUAGAGGAAAAGAGACACAGAGGCAACAAUAGGUGAUUCUUAAUGAAAGGGGCCAGAGGGACCCAGAAUGGCCACAAAAGGUGUGAAACCCCACAGAAUUUCAGCCCCAGCAUAGGCCAGCUAAAGAUCAAGAAGAAAGCUCCCUGUCUGUGCCUUGAUGUUCUCAUUUCUCUAUGGCUGGCCUAGGAAGGUGUCUUUUUCAAGGCCACGUCCCUUCAUGUUCAUCACUAGCCUGUUCAUGAAUGUUCUUUUUUUCUUAACCUUUUGGCAAACCUCUCCUAAAACUCCCCUCCCAAGAAGGGAGGUUUAAAUGACAGGGUUACUGGAGCUCCCUGGUGCUUGAAUGUUAAAGAUCCAGUGUUGUCACUGCUGGGGUGUGGGCUCCAUCUCUGGCCUGGGGAGUUCCUUAUGCCACGGGUGUGGUGGACCAAAAAAAAAAAAAAAAAAAAAAAAAAAUGACAGGGCUAUUUCCAAAAUUUGGAUGAGCACAGGAAGGGCAAAAGGAAAAGCAAAGCCACCUGGGCUCGUAUUUUAAAGACCCCAUUCCCUUUCCCCUAUAAUUAUGCCGUCAGUGUUACCAGAGGUGGAGUUAGCGCCGUCUGUCAUCGACGGGCGCACGUGGGGUAUCCCGCUGCGAAAACUCGGCCACGCCCCUACUACCUGGGAAGAUGCAUUGAUGACAAGCACCAAAACGAAGACAAAAAUCUCGGAAAACCCUUGUGAUCCAAACUAUUUGAUUCUAGAGGGGGACAUGCUAAGGGAGGUAAGCGGAUCCUUUCUAGAAUGUCUGAAGAGGUGACCCAUCAUGUUCUAAAUCUGGGGUGGACCCAGCUGUCCUCAUAUCUAACAGGCCUCCAAUAGUGUCACUGCUACAGCCAUGGGCUCCUGGCGGCCCCCACAUCAGCAUCUACACAGCUUCAAUCUCUCGGCAGGUAAGCACAAACGGUGCUCCUUUAAGCCAGUAGGAGCUUCUUGCACCUUUUCCAAAUGCCUCAGGGUGUGGCGAAUGUAUACUCGCUACCGCAUAGACCAGUCCUUUUGCGGGUCCAUGGAAGUGGAAUGAGAAAGCUGCCCUGAAGACGGCUGGCACUACAGAGGGAAGAGGAGGGAAGUGAAAACUGGCCAUUCAGAUGUGUCUGCCGUCAGAGUGCAUGCAGACUUGGAGUCAGGGAGUCUGGGGGAACUUAGCUCCGCUUCCUGUGAGCCACUCUCUGAGACGUAGGACUCUCAGGCGGGCGAGGGUGGUGAUACACCUACUCGUGACGCUUUGAAAAGCAGAAAUAACAGGGACGGACGUGUUCAGUGACCUGUAAAGCCAUGUGCACAUCUGAGCUGCUCUGGAGGGUUUGGGAGAUGAGCAGGAACCGUUGAGGGUUAUAUGGACAAAGCCCCAGGACCGCUGGUCUGAGCAUGGAGCAUUUCAAGGAAGCAGGCGCACGGACGCAGGGUUAAAAGUGGGGAAACUUGGUAUCACCUUUGGUGACCUUGGAGAGAAUGGGUUCUGCUGAGAGACAGGGUCAGAAGCUAGAUUUUAGGAGAUGAAGGAGAAAGUGGGUGGUAAGGAAAUGGGGGCUCAGGGCUGCCGACCACUUAAUUAAGAAAUCUGCAGUCAAAGGAAGCAAGAAAUGGGACAGUAGCUUGAGGGGGCAGCUUAAAUUCUUACCACACCCCUGGAUAUAGACAUUUUACUGGGGAUCAACGCCUCAUCAAAAGAGCUUAAGUGCUGUUGGUGAAAUUUCAGUCAGCCAGAAGGUGGGGAGCCUCCUCCUUGACACUUGGGGCGUAUUCUGAAAUCCCAGACAUCACACCGCGAAUAGGCACUUGCCUGUUCUGCCAGCACGUGAGGCUGGCCCCACAGAACCGCAGAAUUUGGAGCUCUUCCAACCUCCCCUCUUGCACCUUCAUAUCUUUGGGAAACCAAUCUUUUUGAGUUGUAAAUAGCUGUCGCAAUGUCCCUAAAUGUUAAUUCACAGAAAAGGGGGUGGCACCUGCCUUAGACCUCUGCAACUGAAGCUUUUAUGUCAAAUAGGCAGCCAGGUUCCCCAUCACCGUGGGUCCAUCCCGCCGAGCAUCAGUUCACCACGGCAUCAUCACCCCCUCCAUGUCCCCCACGUACUCACACCAGCCCCUUCCCGUCUCUGCACCUGCGUGUCUGCUGCUCUCCAGGUAACGGCCUCUUCACCCCACCCCUGCCGCCGGCCCCAACCCUGGUUUUCUCCAUCUAAGGGGUUUGGUUCAGUUCGCAGUGACUCGUAAAGGCUGUGUUGCCCACUCCCCCCACGUAUCCUCCCAAACCCUGCAGAUGGACCACCUGUACCAGAGAGUCAGCCCUGACUUAUACAGAGUCAUAUCUGAUGUCUCAAUUGUUCCCUGCCUGGUGGCCCUAUUCUUAAGAGUAGGUGCCACUUCUUACCAUUUUUCAUGCCCUCAAUUCCUAGCUUGUGUGCCUGUGUAGGUGCAUUUCUGAAUGUUGAUUUGUUGAUGGCACACCACACAGGUGUAAAGUUACAGCCACAGGGCCUCCAGGUGCCAAAUUGAUGACGAUGUGCUCAACAUCUCCUACAGGCGUCGCAUAUGGUGACAGCUCCUCGUCGCGCGAGGAUUAAUGUGAGAUGUGGCAGGAGGAUGGUGGCUCGGAAGAGGAAGACAGGAUGGCCGAUGAUGAGGGAGUGUGUCGCUUGUCACCCUGACCUAUCAGGGCACCUGGUUUGAGUUAGGAAGGCUGGAAUUGCCAGAUGGAUCAAUGCUCCCUCCAUUUGUUGCCUUUCAUGCCAGAGAUAUUACCUAUUGAUUUCUGCUGUGCAAAAAUCUAAAAGGAUCUGCUUUGCGGAGUCGAACACAGAAAUGCUGGGUCUCCCCAGCCGACCUGACAGCCCCCAUGUCGUUCUUUUUCUCUCCCACCGCUCCACUGCCCCCCGCCCCAAACGCCCUGGAGGAAGAAUGAAGAUCAAGGCUUCAUGUCAUGUUUCCAAGUUUUCUACGUGUUUUACAAGGUGCAGCUUUAGUUAUUCCCGAAAACACGCCCAUUACGAGGUGAGGCGAUGCUAUUAAACUCAUUCUACUUUAUGGCUCUGGAAGCAGAGGCACAGAAAGGUUAAGUGGCUUGGCAAGGUUGCCCAGCAAUUUGAUGACGAGCGUGCGUUUUAACUCCUGCCUGGCGAGAUCUCACACAGAAGGUUCAAGCAUCAGAGAAUUUUCAGUGUCCGUGCUUGGGGACAUUUAGAAUAACUCAAGGAGGUGGCACCGUGCAACUGGCAAUCGGGUGUGAAUCAUUAUUGUUUAAAUCUUGAACGGAGGAAGUGGGUGGCAUCAUGCAGACAGAGAGUUUUAAGUCGAGAUUUGAAAGAGGGGAGGCUGUGGGUGGCUGGGCAUCCGGCCGGCUCUCAAUAAAUGUUGGGACAUUGCAGCCAAGGGCUUCGGCAGGGAGGUUUGGCAGGCCGGUUCUCCCGCGGCUCCCCAACAAGGAGCCGUGCCUGAGUCGACGAGGCUGUGCAAUGCACUGGUUUAGACGUGUUAGUAUUCUAGCCCCAUCUCCUCCUUUAUGGCUCUUCAUGACUCUAUCUGAUGACAGAGCAGCUCCUCGCCAUUUAAAGGUCAAAUGCCAGUAAUAGAGAGAUGGCGUUUUAUCAUCAGAAGCCUGCAAGCUGAAGGGAGAGGAGAGCUGGAAGGACUGAACCAAGAACAAUGAUGCCCCCUGGUUGAGAUGCCAUGAAAGUGGACCGAACCUUCAAUUAACCCUUCCCAAACACCUGGUCCCUGGGACCAGUUUAUCUGGCUGUGAGCUGGGUUUGGAGCCUGUUUCUCUCCCUCGGAAAUGGAGGGAGCUUCUGGUCUAAUUCUUGGCUCAUCCUGCAAAUGAGAAAUGCCUCCAAACCCCCCAGGGAAUCAGGAUCCCACUGAGAUUCCUGAACACAGAGGCUGUCAGGGGCCCGGGGAGGCAGGAGCAUCAACUGACAGAGACAGUUCUGGUCUAUUUCCCGAAGAUUUUUAAGGAUUAGUCUCCUGGAGGAAGUUUACAGAGAAACGUUUGUUGCAGGGCAGAAUAUUAAUUAUGACAGCAGCAGAGGUGAUGCAGCUUUUUGUCGGAGACUGCUGUAUAGUUUAAAAAUCUUUUUAAAAAUCUGGUCUCUCUCAAAUUUCUUUGACACCAUGAAGGAGCAGAAAAUGUAUGACGUAGGUGACUCCGAGAGGCUAAGUGAAGGGCUCAGGGUCACACAGACAGUAAGUGACCGAGUUGGGACGUCGAGCCCCAAGGAUUUGUUUUUCCAUCCAGCGAUCUUUCUGGAACCCUUACCUCCCAGAAUCAUGAGGGCAGGAUUAGGCUUUGCAGAAGAGGCGAGGCCUCCCUGCCGCCUCAGAGGAAAUUCCUAGCAAUUCCAUCCUGAUCGUGAGGAUGUGGGUGAGCUUGUUUUCUUCCCUCCCCCACCUCUAGUCUCAAAAAAAAGGGGGGGGGGACCUUUAUCCUGAAGAUAAAGUCACGUGGCUCCCCGUGGGCUGGGCGAACACCUCCGGUCGGGAGGCGCCUGGGUGUGUGCGCAUGCGCGGUGUCUUGCUACCCUUUCAUCUGCUUCUGCAUUUGAGCCUCACCAACAAGGGCCCGAGGCGGAUAAGCAUUUCCCCUGAACGAAGGGUGAGGAAUGCAGAACUUAAAGCAGUCCAUAAUCCACCCCUUCCCCCAGACUCACUGCCCCAGGGAGAUGAUCUGGGCGUAAAACCCAAGCUGACCAGUUGUCUAAGCCUCUGUGGAGUCAGGGUGCAGAAUCCUGGGCCGCAGAGCAGAGAGGAAAGGGGCCAGCGGGGGUGGGGGGGUGGGGGGGUGGACCAAGCCCUUGGGACCAGUCCUUGGGCCCGUGGCCUCCCCAGCUUCCCAGACCUGCGUGGUGAGCCUUGGGGCGCAUCCUGCCUUCGUGCGCCUGGAGAGCUUUGCUGACACGGGUCUGGAGCUCUUUGGGCAAAAGGCUAGGGAAUUCAGGCUUUGGAAAAUAAUAGGAGACCCUUGUCCAAAGUCCAAAUCCUUAAAAAAAAAAAGAACUAGUAAAUCAUAUUCAGGGAACAGAGUCGCAGUUUCUUCACUUCUAACAUGGGAACAAGUGUAUACUGCCCGGAGCCGCUGCGACGAUGAAAAUUUACCAGUAAUGACAGGCCUUUGAAACACGAAUGCAUCAUGUUUUUAUUUCCGUCGUUAAUAACCCGCAAAUUUCCCCCUUUCUUUUCAAGUUCAUUUGUAGUCAUGGUUAAAGAGAGCGGGCAGAGGGUGCUCGGAGCAAAACCGUCUUAUUGGAAAUGCUUGUCUUGCCUAUAAAACCCUAGCGCUGACAGGAGGGUGUAUUUCCUCUCUGCUGAGUUCCCUUUAACUGCAAAACCCUCUCCACCUUAGGAAGCUUUGUUCAUGGCAAGCCCUCAACCUUGAAGUCAUCAGGCCUGUAAUUUACCCCCCACGAGGACACGAGAAAAUGAAAUCAAAUAAAUAUUAUUGUUUUUCCUUCCUUUCUUAGCAAAUUACCACCUUCCGCUCCUCUCUUCCCUCAAGCUCUAAUAGCUGGGCAAGUCUGGAACUGAUCUCUCGGCAGAAAAUUCUUUUAAAUCAAAGCGCUGCCCUGCGUGAGACGUUCCCCCAUCCACAAGCCCAGAAACCCUCUUCAGAAAUCAGGAAAUAGAUGCCAAUUUGGCUCCGAGGGAAGGUGCGGGAUCGGGUUCCUCCCGUAAGUGCCGCAUAGAAAAGAUACCUGUGAGCCGGGAAAUAUAAUUUACCCAACAGAACGCUUUCU